This 255-nucleotide ribosomal RNA is filed under the name uncultured bacterium. RNAcentral's name for it is "partial 16S ribosomal RNA". It matches the Rfam family "Bacterial small subunit ribosomal RNA", at positions 524 to 776 of the family's 1533-position model. The record is from RNAcentral.
UACGGAGGAUCCAAGCGUUUAUCCGGAAUCAUUGGGUUUAAAGGGUCCGUAGGCGGUUUGGUAAGUCAGUGGUGAAAGCCCCAUCGCUCAACGGUGGAACGGCCAUUGAUACUGCUAAACUUGAAUUAUUAGGAAGUAACUAGAAUAUGUAGUGUAGCGGUGAAAUGCUUAGAGAUUACAUGGAAUACCAAUUGCGAAGGCAGGUUACUACUAAUGGAUUGACGCUGAUGGACGAAAGCGUGGGUAGCGAACAGG